GGUGCUAUAGUGUAGUGGUCUAUCACUUGGGAUUUUGAUCACCUGUUCAAUCUUCCCAUAACCCAGGUUCGAACCCUGGUAGCACCU
This is a non-coding RNA of Steccherinum ochraceum, 87 nucleotides long. NCBI's taxonomy places the organism in Eukaryota, Fungi, Basidiomycota, Agaricomycetes, Polyporales, Steccherinaceae. The record is from the annotation of a GenBank genome assembly.